ACUGAGCACACUCUACCAUCAACAAGGACAGCUCACCAGUGGGAGCUGAUACAUAAGACUGCUCUCAUCCAUUGAAGAGCUGACCAGAAACGUGAACAGAGAGACUGCAACUGCACCUGAUGGGAUCCCUGCCAUAACAGAUGUGUUCUGUCCAGUGAAGGCAGUAGAGAAGCCCUACACUGAUCUUGAAACUGUGCCACGCUAGUAGAGACCGCUACAAGGAUGGGCAGCUGUUUUCGCAAAGUCAGCCAACCACUUGCUUCCAAAUGACCCUUAUCCAGAAGUAUCCGUGAGUGCCUCAUCAACAGAAACUAAAGUGGAGACCUACCUCUCAGAGAAAAACGCACACAUAAGAAAAGCCGACCCACUUCAGUACUGGGAAGAACAUCCUAAUCUGUUUCCCUCUAUGGCUGCUGUUGCGAUCCCAGUGU
Molecule: long non-coding RNA, 431 nt
Organism: Oreochromis aureus
Lineage: Eukaryota; Metazoa; Chordata; Actinopteri; Cichliformes; Cichlidae
Exons: 3
Source: RefSeq, a predicted model, not a curated record